This 460-nucleotide ribosomal RNA is filed under the name uncultured bacterium. Its description in RNAcentral is "partial 16S ribosomal RNA". It matches the Rfam family "Bacterial small subunit ribosomal RNA", at positions 338 to 795 of the family's 1533-position model. The record is from RNAcentral.
CCUACGGGUGGCUGCAGUGAGGAAUAUUGGUCAAUGGGCGCGAGCCUGAACCAGCCAAGUAGCGUGAAGGAUGACUGCCCUACGGGUUGUAAACUUCUUUUAUAAAGGAAUAAAGUGAGGCACGUGUGCCUUUUUGUAUGUACUUUAUGAAUAAGGAUCGGCUAACUCCGUGCCAGCAGCCGCGGUAAUACGGAGGAUCCGAGCGUUAUCCGGAUUUAUUGGGUUUAAAGGGAGCGUAGAUGGGUUGUUAAGUCAGUUGUGAAAGUUUGCGGCUCAACCGUAAAAUUGCAAUUGAUACUGGCAGUCUUGAGUACAGUUGAGGUAGGCGGAAUUCGUGGUGUAGCGGUGAAAUGCGUAGAUAUUAGGAGGAACACCAGUGGCGAAGGCGGCCUGCUGGGCUUUGACUGACGCUGAGGCUCGAAAGUGUGGGGAGCAAACAGGAUUAGAUACCCUGGUAGUC